GUCUUUGGCGUCCGAGUUGUAAUUUGCAGAGGGCGCUUUGGCAUUGGCAGCGGUCCAAGUUCCUUGGAACAGGACGUCACAGAGGGUGAGAAUCCCGUACGUGGUCGCUAGCCUUUACCGUGUAAAGCCCCUUCGACGAGUCGAGUUGUUUGGGAAUGCAGCUCUAAAUGGGAGGUAAAUUUCUUCUAAAGCUAAAUACUGGCCAGAGACCGAUAGCGCACAAGUAGAGUGAUCGAAAGAUGAAAAGCACUUUGGAAAGAGAGUUAAAAAGCACGUGAAAUUGUUGAAAGGGAAGCGCUUGCAGCCAGACUUGCCUGUAGUUGCUCAUCCGGGUUUUUACCCGGUGCACUCUUCUGCGGGCAGGCCAGCAUCAGUUUGGGCGGUUGGAUAAAGGUCUCUGUCAUGUACCUCUCUUCGGGGAGAACUUAUAGGGGAGACGACAUGCAACCAGCCUGGACUGAGGUCCGCGCAUCUGCUAGGAUGCUGGCGUAAUGGCUGUAAGCGGCCCGUCUUGAAACACGGACCAAGGAGUCUAACAUCUAUGCGAGUGUUUGGGUGUCAAGCCCGAGCGCGUAAUGAAAGUGAACGGAGGUGGGAACCCCUCGGGGUGCACCAUCGACCGAUCCUGAUGUCUUCGGAUGGAUUUGAGUAAGAGCAUAGCUGUUGGGACCCGAAAGAUGGUGAACUAUGCUUGAAUAGGGUGAAGCCAGAGGAAACUCUGGUGGAGGCUCGCAGCGGUUCUGACGUGCAAAUCGAUCGUCAAAUUUGGGCAUAGGGGCGAAAGAC
RNAcentral lists this ribosomal RNA (786 nucleotides) under Xenodidymella clematidis. Its description in RNAcentral is "partial large subunit ribosomal RNA". It matches the Rfam family "Eukaryotic large subunit ribosomal RNA", at positions 127 to 931 of the family's 3401-position model. Lineage: Eukaryota; Fungi; Ascomycota; Dothideomycetes; Pleosporales; Didymellaceae. The record is from RNAcentral.